AUGGCGGCGAGGAGCGGCAUUGUCGUCGUCGCGGCGGCGCUCUUGGCCCUGGUGGCGGUGUCGCAGGCACAGGCGCCGGGCCCCUCGGCGACGCCGGCCGGCCCGCCGAACGUGACGGCCAUCCUGGUGAAGGGCGGGCAGUACACGACCUUCAUGCGGCUGAUGAAGGAGACGCAGCAGGACACGCAGCUCAACAGCCAGCUCAACAACUCCUUCAACGGCAACGGCUACACCGUGUUCGCGCCCACCGACAACGCCUUCAACAACCUCAAGCCCGGCACGCUCAACAGCCUCACCCAGCAGCAGCAGGUGUCGCUCGUCCAGGCCCACAUCCUGCCCCAGUACUACACCAUGGAGUCCUUCCAGACGGCCAGCAACCCCGUCCGCACCCAGGCCUCCGGCGAGAAGGAGCCCAUCACGGUCAACAUCGUCGCCAGCAACAACCAGGUCAACGUCACCACCGGCCUCGUCGAGGUCGCCGUCAACAACGCUCUCAGCGCCGUCAAGCCGCUCGCCGUCUACUCGCUCGACAAGGUGCUCCUCCCCGAAGCGCUGUUCGGGGCCAAGGCGCCGGCGCCCGCGCCCGCCGCCUCCAAGGGGGGCAAGACCAAGAAGGGUGAGGCCGCCUCCGGGCCGGCCGGGUCAGACGACGAAGCGACGCCCACGGGCGCCGCGGGCGCCAGGGCCGUCAGUUGGGGCGUGGCUGGCAUGGCCGCCCUUCUUGGCUACCUCUUGUGA
Molecule: ribosomal RNA, 738 nt
Filed under: Triticum aestivum (bread wheat)
Lineage: Eukaryota; Viridiplantae; Streptophyta; Magnoliopsida; Poales; Poaceae
Description: partial small subunit ribosomal RNA
Source: RNAcentral